This 234-nucleotide ribosomal RNA is filed under the name Atypus sp. 188. RNAcentral describes it as "partial 18S ribosomal RNA". It matches the Rfam family "Eukaryotic small subunit ribosomal RNA", at positions 965 to 1198 of the family's 1831-position model. Lineage: Eukaryota; Metazoa; Arthropoda; Arachnida; Araneae; Atypidae. The record is from RNAcentral.
UGUUUUCAUUAAUCAAGAACGAAAGUUAGAGGUUCGAAGGCGAUCAGAUACCGCCCUAGUUCUAACCAUAAACGAUGCCAACCAGCGAUCCGCCUGAGUUCCUCAAAUGACUCGGCGGGCAGCUUCCGGGAAACCAAAGUGUUUGGGUUCCGGGGGAAGUAUGGUUGCAAAGCUGAAACUUAAAGGAAUUGACGGAAGGGCACCACCAGGAGUGGAGCCUGCGGCUUAAUUUGA